UACGUAGGGUGCGAGCGUUGUCCGGAAUUACUGGGCGUAAAGAGCUCGUAGGUGGUUUGUCGCGUUGUUCGUGAAAACUCACAACUCAAUUGUGGGCGUGCGGGCGAUACGGGCAGACUGGAGUACUGCAGGGGAGACUGGAAUUCCUGGUGUAGCGGUGGAAUGCGCAGAUAUCAGGAAGAACACCAAUGGCGAAAGCAGCUCUCUGGGACGGUACUGACGCUGAGACGCGAAAGCGUGGGGAGCGAACAGG
This 253-nucleotide ribosomal RNA is filed under the name uncultured bacterium. RNAcentral describes it as "partial 16S ribosomal RNA". It matches the Rfam family "Bacterial small subunit ribosomal RNA", at positions 524 to 776 of the family's 1533-position model. The record is from RNAcentral.